GAAGAAAAAAGAAGAAGAUAAAAAA
RNAcentral lists this small RNA (25 nucleotides) under Arabidopsis thaliana (thale cress). RNAcentral's name for it is "ATSL152630". Lineage: Eukaryota; Viridiplantae; Streptophyta; Magnoliopsida; Brassicales; Brassicaceae. The record is from RNAcentral.